GAUGAGUGGCGAACGGGUGAGUAACACGUGAGUAACCUGCCCUCUUCUUUGGGAUAACGCCCGGAAACGGGUGCUAAUACUGGAUAUUUACUGAUCUUCGCAUGGGGGUUGGUGGAAAGGUUUGUUCUGGUGGGGGAUGGGCUCGCGGCCUAUCAGCUUGUUGGUGGGGUGAUGGCCUACCAAGGCUUUGACGGGUAGCCGGCCUGAGAGGGUGACCGGCCACAAGGGGACUGAGACACGGCCCAGACUCC
RNAcentral lists this ribosomal RNA (251 nucleotides) under uncultured Actinomycetales bacterium. RNAcentral describes it as "partial 16S ribosomal RNA". It matches the Rfam family "Bacterial small subunit ribosomal RNA", at positions 90 to 339 of the family's 1533-position model. Lineage: Bacteria; Bacillati; Actinomycetota; Actinomycetes; Actinomycetales. The record is from RNAcentral.